Heterocephalus glaber (naked mole-rat) is the source of this 1004-nucleotide long non-coding RNA. Lineage: Eukaryota; Metazoa; Chordata; Mammalia; Rodentia; Bathyergidae. The record is from Ensembl.
UUUGGUUUGUUGCUAUUUGGGGAAGGCCACGUGUUUUGUUUUCUUUGGCACUGGGGGUUAAACCCAGAGCCUUCACACUGAGCCAUUUCCCAGUUUUUCUGUUUUGUUUUGUUUUUUUAAGACAAGGUCUUCUUAAAUUGCUUAAUUACCCAGACUGGACUCAAACUUGUAAUGCUCCUGCCUCACCCUCCCCAAGUGCUGGGAUUACAAGAGUGCGUUACUAUGCCCGGUUUGACAUAUUUAAAUUCUUAGGCAGGUGUAGGGACAGAUCACCAGGAGGUCAGCAAGCUCCUCAGCCUCACACCUCUGUAAACAUGAAGGACUCACCCGAGAGUGCUGCCCUCUAGGCUGUGCCCAGGUCUCCAGGUGGCAGUGGCAACAAGGCCAACACUGACUAUGACUUUGCACAGCUUUGUAGUCACCAGCAGCCUCUUCAGACCUUGUUGAUCCAAAAGUUUAUCCAUUGGCCCAAUCUCUUGCUUGGGGCAAUGGAGCAAAGUGGGUACUGUAUUGGAGCCAAGUCCACAUUGUUUUCAAAACCUGCUUCGCUGUUGAAGGAAAAGCCAGUCUCUUCGUAUGUCUCCUUGUGACGAAUUUCUUCACCUUGAAUGUUUGCAGGGCUCAUUUCAUAACUCUGGGGACUCACUUUAUAGAAGUCUGAACAAAAUAAAACCUUUUCACUUAAGCUAAAAUGACUUAUCACAGAAAAAGCCUGGAAGUGAGAGCAAAGAAGGGAGACUAGGGCACAGCAACAUAGCUGGAGUAAUUGGAAGCAACCUGCCAGUUGGAGAGACUUGUUAACCAUGGGCAUGGAGAAGCAGCUCUCAAGCUUGACACGAGAUCAAGUCAAACCCUGCACCUGGUACCAAUCUUCUGCCAUAAGAACAUGCUGAACAUGGCACCUGAUGUCAGUUUUCUGAAUCAAGAACACAUGGAGCCUAGCACCUAACACCAAUCUUCUAGUACAAGAUCAACUGGGACCACUUGGAUCAACUAUCAAGACG